GACCUCGAAUCAGGUAGGACUACCCGUUGAACUUAAGCUUUU
Molecule: ribosomal RNA, 42 nt
Filed under: Cordyceps gunnii
Lineage: Eukaryota; Fungi; Ascomycota; Sordariomycetes; Hypocreales; Cordycipitaceae
Description: partial 28S ribosomal RNA
Source: RNAcentral